CAUAACAAGGUCUCCGUUGGUGAACCAGCGGAGGGAUCAUUAUAGAGUUUUCUAAACUCCCAACCCAUGUGAACUUACCUUUUGUUGCCUCGGCAGAAGUUAUAGGUCUUCUUAUAGCUGCUGCCGGUGGACCAUUAAACUCUUGUUAUUUUAUGUAAUCUGAGCGUCUUAUUUUAAUAAGUCAAAACUUUCAACAACGGAUCUCUUGGUUCUGGCAUCGAUGAAGAACGCAGCGAAAUGCGAUAAGUAAUGUGAAUUGCAGAAUUCAGUGAAUCAUCGAAUCUUUGAACGCACAUUGCGCCCAUUAGUAUUCUAGUGGGCAUGCCUGUUCGAGCGUCAUUUCAACCCUUAAGCCUAGCUUAGUGUUGGGAAUCUACUUCUCUUAGGAGUUGUAGUUCCUGAAAUACAACGGCGGAUUUGUAGUAUCCUCUGAGCGUAGUAAUUUUUUUCUCGCUUUUGUUAGGUGCUAUAACUCCCAGCCGCUAAACCCCCAAUUUUUUGUGGUUGACCUCGGAUCAGGUAGGAAUACCCGCUGAACUUAAGCAUA
This 547-nucleotide ribosomal RNA is filed under the name Pestalotiopsis microspora. RNAcentral's name for it is "eukaryotic LSU rRNA". The stretch from base 186 to 339 matches the Rfam family "5.8S ribosomal RNA". Lineage: Eukaryota; Fungi; Ascomycota; Sordariomycetes; Amphisphaeriales; Sporocadaceae. The record is from RNAcentral.